AGCCGGAUAAUCGCGCCUUUAUUGGGUGAGGAAAGUCCGUGCAUCCAAGGACAGACCGCCGGAGAAACUCCGGGCAGCGUGAGCUGGCGGAUCGGACCACAGAAAAGGGGGGUAAAUGUUAUCUCGCUUAUUAGACUUAUUACAAGUAAAAUGUAGAAGAUAUCUUCCUCCCAAAAGACUGCCGAUGGAUUAAUUUUACAGGCGAUGGUGCAAAGGUGAGGUAAGAGCUCACCGGCAAUGCUGAGAAGUAUUGGCCAGGCAACCCCCGGUCGGAUGCAAGAUUGAAUCAAGCGUUUGAGGUGUCCGCCGAGCUUGAAAAAUCGCUAGAGACUAGGAGUAAUCCUAGUACCAGAUAGAUGAUUAUCGGGAUUUUAUCCCUGCCUUACGGCAAGAAACAGAACACGGCUUAUGAGCUGCUUUU
This 421-nucleotide RNase P RNA is filed under the name bovine gut metagenome. RNAcentral describes it as "Bacterial RNase P class A". It matches the Rfam family "Bacterial RNase P class A". Rfam says of the family: Ribonuclease P (RNase P) is a ubiquitous endoribonuclease, found in archaea, bacteria and eukarya as well as chloroplasts and mitochondria. Its best characterised activity is the generation of mature 5'-ends of tRNAs by cleaving the 5'-leader elements of precursor-tRNAs. Cellular RNase Ps are ribonucleoproteins. The record is from RNAcentral.